AUUGAACGCUGGCGGCAUGCUUUACACAUGCAAGUCGAACGGCAGCAUGGGUGCUUGCACCUGAUGGCGAGUGGCGAACGGGUGAGUAAUGUAUCGGAACAUAUCCGCAAGUGGGGGAUAACGUAGCGAAAGUUACGCUAAUACCGCAUAUUCCCUGAGGGGGAAAGGAGGGGAUCCGCAAGGACCUUUCGCUUACGGAGUGGCCGAUAUCAGAUUAGCUAGUUGGUGAGGUAAAGGCUCACCAAGGCGACGAUCUGUAGCGGGUCUGAGAGGAGUAUCCGCCACACGGGGACUGAGAAACGGCCCAGACUCCUACGGGAGGCAGCAGUGGGGAAUUUUGGACAAUGGGCGCAAGCCUGAUCCAGCCAUGCCGCGUGAGUGAAGAAGGCCUUCGGGUUGUAAAGCUCUUUCAGCUGGAAAAAAAUCGCUUCACCUAAUACGUGGAGUGGAUGAUGGUACCAGCAGAAGAAGCACCGGCUAACUACGUGCCAGCCGCCGCAGUAA
RNAcentral lists this ribosomal RNA (504 nucleotides) under uncultured bacterium. RNAcentral's name for it is "partial 16S ribosomal RNA". It matches the Rfam family "Bacterial small subunit ribosomal RNA", at positions 30 to 523 of the family's 1533-position model. The record is from RNAcentral.